GAUGAACGCUGGCGGCGUGCCUAAUACAUGCAAGUCGAGCGAACAGAUAAGGAGCUUGCUCCUUUGACGUUAGCGGCGGACGGGUGAGUAACACGUGGGUAACCUACCUAUAAGACUGGAAUAACUCCGGGAAACCGGGGCUAAUGCCGGAUAACAUUUAGAACCGCAUGGUUCUAAAGUGAAAGAUGGUUUUGCUAUCACUUAUAGAUGGACCCGCGCCGUAUUAGCUAGCUGGUAAGGUAACGGCUUACCAAGGCAACGAUACGUAGCCGACCUGAGAGGGUGAUCGGCCACACUGGAACUGAGACACGGUCCAGACUCCUACGGGAGGCAGCAGUAGGGAAUCUUCCGCAAUGGGCGAAAGCCUGACGGAGCAACGCCGCGUGAGUGAUGAAGGUCUUCGGAUCGUAAAACUCUGCUAUUAGGGAAGAACAAAUGUGUAAGUAACUGUGCACGUCUUGACGGUACCUAAUCAGAAAGCCACGGCUAACUACGUG
This 497-nucleotide ribosomal RNA is filed under the name uncultured bacterium. RNAcentral's name for it is "partial 16S ribosomal RNA". It matches the Rfam family "Bacterial small subunit ribosomal RNA", at positions 28 to 507 of the family's 1533-position model. The record is from RNAcentral.